This 245-nucleotide unclassified non-coding RNA is filed under the name uncultured Sordariales. RNAcentral's name for it is "sequence contains ITS2". The stretch from base 1 to 52 matches the Rfam family "5.8S ribosomal RNA", at positions 103 to 154 of the family's 154-position model. The record is from RNAcentral. Lineage: Eukaryota; Fungi; Ascomycota; Sordariomycetes; Sordariales.
AACGCACAUUGCGCCCGCCAGUAUUCUGGCGGGCAUGCCUGUCCGAGCGUCAUUUCAACCAUCAAGCCCCGGGCUUGUGUUGGGGACCUGCGUCCGACGCAGGCCCUGAAAACCAGUGGCGGGCUCGCUGUCCACACCGAGCGUAGUAACUAACCUCGCUAUGGAGUGGCGCGGGCGCCUGCCGUAAAACCCCCAAUUUUUACAAGGUUGACCUCGGAUCAGGUAGGAAUACCCGCUGAACUUAA